This 235-nucleotide ribosomal RNA is filed under the name Bicosoecida sp. CB-2014. Its description in RNAcentral is "partial Bacterial large subunit ribosomal RNA". It matches the Rfam family "Bacterial large subunit ribosomal RNA", at positions 2272 to 2505 of the family's 2925-position model. The record is from RNAcentral. Lineage: Eukaryota; Bigyra; Bicosoecida.
GACUGGGGCGGUCGCCUCCUAAAGGGUAACGGAGGCGCGCGAAGGUCCGCUCGGGACGGUCGGCAACCGUCCUUUUGAAUGCAAGAGUACAAGCGGGCUUGACUGCGAGGCCCACAAGCCGAGCAGGUGCGAAAGCAGGCUCUAGUGAUCCGGCGGCCCCGAGUGGGUGGGCCGUCGCUCAACGGAUAAAAGGUACUCUGGGGAUAACAGGCUGAUACCGCCCAAGAGUUCAUAU